Scatophagus argus is the source of this 956-nucleotide long non-coding RNA. RefSeq lists it as uncharacterized. NCBI's taxonomy places the organism in Eukaryota, Metazoa, Chordata, Actinopteri, Scatophagidae. The record is from RefSeq and is a predicted model, not a curated record. The transcript is spliced from 3 exons.
AGGAAGGUCCUGUAAGCAUCGGACACGACUUUCUUCUGGGACCGACGGAUGAAGUCUCGCUGCUCCUUGUCUGGGAUGGCCCAGCCCUUCUGGAUCUUACACAGCUCCUCCAAGCCGUCGUUAAAGCCCUGAGAGGCAGCGAGAGGACAGGAGGUCAGCUGGAGGAAGGAAAGACGGCAGUUAGGAAACGGAUUCGAAGCACAGACACGUUCAUUUGGAGGACGACAAGGCUCUUCUGGUUUGACUCGAGGUCCAGGAAGACAUUUCGCCUCGCGGCUUCCUUCAGUCCAGGAUCAACGUUCCUGCGGUGCCACAAAUCAUACGGGAGUGUCGAAGCUGACACUGAGGAUGGAAGAUAAUAAAGUUCUGACCUUGGUGCCAGGCUGGAAGACGGGCAUGUUCCUGUCCGUCAGGUGCUCUGUGACUUUCAGCCAGCUGCAGCAGAGUGAAGAAACACACACACACACACACACACACUCGCUGGGUUCAAACAGGCAGAGAGAAGAGGACGCACGAGGCGGACAGGAAGUGGUCUGUGCGGUUUACCUGCUCUUGUACGUGUGGAUCUGCUGCUCGAUCAGCUCUUUGUACGACCUCUCAGCUGUCUUCUGGGUCACGGUCACCAGCUGGAUCAGCUCAGACCUGAACACAGCCAAAGGUUUAUGUGCUGCACACAUUCACUCAGCGGAAGGUCUGAACAGGAUGUUCCACCCUUUCACAAUAAAUCACACCCACUUACUGCAGACUUGGGUUUUUUAGAGAUUUGGAUUUUCUUCAGUCAUUCCUGCAGAGUAAAGUUCAGUAACCAAACUCGUCCUUAAGAGACGAGCUGCUGUAAAAUUCCUGAGCCUGUUCAGACCUCUCUGUUGUCGUUUCACAGAACUGGAGUAAUAAUAGUAACUAAUUGGAGUCGGUACGUGAAGGUGGAGGACGGACAAGAAGGAAACUCACUUCUC